GCGGCGUGCUUAACACAUGCAAGUCGAACGGUGAACACGGAGCUUGCUCUGUGGGAUCAGUGGCGAACGGGUGAGUAACACGUGAGCAACCUGCCCCUGACUCUGGGAUAAGCGCUGGAAACGGCGUCUAAUACUGGAUAUGUGACGUGACCGCAUGGUCUGCGUUUGGAAAGAUUUUUCGGUUGGGGAGGGGCUCGCGGCCUAUCAGCUUGUUGGUGAGGUAAUGGCUCACCAAGGCGUCGACGGGUAGCCGGCCUGAGAGGGUGACCGGCCACACUGGGACUGAGACACGGCCCAGACUCCUACGGGAGGCAGCAGUGGGGAAUAUUGCACAAUGGGCGAAAGCCUGAUGCAGCAACGCCGCGUGAGGGAUGACGGCCUUCGGGUUGUAAACCUCUUUUAGCAGGGAAGAAGCGAAAGUGACGGUACCUGCAGAAAAAGCGCCGGCUAACUACGUGCCAGCAGCCGCGGUAAUACGUAGGGCGCAAGCGUUAUCCGGAAUUAUUGGGCGUAAAGAGCUCGUAGGCGGUUUGUCGCGUCUGCUGUGAAAUCCCGAGGCUCAACCUCGGGCCUGCAGUGGGUACGGGCAGACUAGAGUGCGGUAGGGGAGAUUGGAAUUCCUGGUGUAGCGGUGGAAUGCGCAGAUAUCAGGAGGAACACCGAUGGCGAAGGCAGAUCUCUGGGCCGUAACUGACGCUGAGGAGCGAAAGGGUGGGGAGCAAACAGGCUUAGAUACCCUGGUAGUCCACCCCGUAAACGUUGGGAACUAGUUGUGGGGUCCAUUCCACGGAUUCCGUGACGCAGCUAACGCAUUAAGUUCCCCGCCUGGGGAGUACGGCCGCAAGGCUAAAACUCAAAGGAAUUGACGGGGACCCGCACAAGCGGCGGAGCAUGCGGAUUAAUUCGAUGCAACGCGAAGAACCUUACCAAGGCUUGACAUAUACGAGAACGGGCC
RNAcentral lists this ribosomal RNA (955 nucleotides) under Microbacterium paraoxydans. RNAcentral's name for it is "bacterial SSU rRNA". It matches the Rfam family "Bacterial small subunit ribosomal RNA", at positions 39 to 1002 of the family's 1533-position model. Lineage: Bacteria; Bacillati; Actinomycetota; Actinomycetes; Micrococcales; Microbacteriaceae. The record is from RNAcentral.